GCGGAAAUGGCGGAAUUGGUAGACGCACCAGAUUUAGGUUCUGGCGCCGCCAGGUGUGAGAGUUCAAGUCGCUCCUUCCGCACCA
This 85-nucleotide transfer RNA is filed under the name Vibrio parahaemolyticus. RNAcentral's name for it is "tRNA-Leu". It matches the Rfam family "tRNA". Rfam says of the family: Transfer RNA (tRNA) molecules are approximately 80 nucleotides in length. Their secondary structure includes four short double-helical elements and three loops (D, anti-codon, and T loops). Further hydrogen bonds mediate the characteristic L-shaped molecular structure. tRNAs have two regions of fundamental functional importance: the anti-codon, which is responsible for specific mRNA codon recognition, and the 3' end, to which the tRNAs corresponding amino acid is attached (by aminoacyl-tRNA synthetases). tRNAs cope with the degeneracy of the genetic code in two manners: having more than one tRNA (with a specific anti-codon) for a particular amino acid; and 'wobble' base-pairing, i.e. permitting non-standard base-pairing at the 3rd anti-codon position. Lineage: Bacteria; Pseudomonadati; Pseudomonadota; Gammaproteobacteria; Vibrionales; Vibrionaceae. The record is from RNAcentral.